UGGGGAAUAUUGGACAAUGGGCGCAAGCCUGAUCCAGCAAUGCCGCGUGUGUGAAGAAGGCCUUCGGGUUGUAAAGCACUUUUAUCAGGAGCGAAACGCUGUCGGCUAAUACCCGGCGGAACUGACGGUACCUGAGGAAUAAGCACCGGCUAACUUCGUGCCAGCAGCCGCGGUAAUACGAAGGGUGCAAGCGUUAAUCGGAAUUACUGGGCGUAAAGCGUGCGUAGGCGGUUUCUUAAGUCUGCUGUGAAAUCCCCGGGCUCAACCUGGGAAUGGCAGUGGAUACUGGGAGGCUAGAGUGUGUCAGAGGGUGGUGGAAUUCCCGGUGUAGCGGUGAAGUGCGCAGAGUCGGGAGGAACAUCAGUGGCGAAGGCGGCCACCUGGGACAACACUGACGCUGAGGCACGAAAGCGUGGGGAGCAAACAGGAUUAAAUACCCUGGUAGUCCACGCCCUAAAGCGAUGCGAACUGGAUGUUGGUCUCAACUCGGAGAUCAGUGUCGAAGCUAACGCGUUAAGUUCGCCGCC
This 527-nucleotide ribosomal RNA is filed under the name uncultured bacterium. Its description in RNAcentral is "partial 16S ribosomal RNA". It matches the Rfam family "Bacterial small subunit ribosomal RNA", at positions 355 to 873 of the family's 1533-position model. The record is from RNAcentral.